AGCGAACGCUGGCGGCAGGCCUAACACAUGCAAGUCGAACGAACCUUUCGGGGUUAGUGGCGGACGGGUGAGUAACACGUGGGAACGUGCCUUUAGGUUCGGAAUAACUCAGGGAAACUUGUGCUAAUACCGAAUGUGCCCUUCGGGGGAAAGAUUUAUCGCCUUUAGAGCGGCCCGCGUCUGUUUAGCUAGUUGGUUGGGGUAAUGGCUCACCAAGGCGACGAUCAGUAGCUGGUCUGAGAGGAGGAUCAGCCACAUUGGGACUGAGACACGGCCCAAACUCCUACGGGAGGCAGCAGUGGGGAAUCUUGCGCAAUGGGCGAAAGCCUGACGCAGCCACGCCGCGUGAAUGAUGAAGGUCUUAGGAUUGUAAAAUUCUUUCACCGGGGACGAUAAUGACGGUACCCGGAGAAGAAGCCCCGGCUAACUUCGUG
This 434-nucleotide ribosomal RNA is filed under the name uncultured bacterium. RNAcentral's name for it is "partial 16S ribosomal RNA". It matches the Rfam family "Bacterial small subunit ribosomal RNA", at positions 29 to 507 of the family's 1533-position model. The record is from RNAcentral.